This is a long non-coding RNA of Suricata suricatta (meerkat), 652 nucleotides long. RefSeq lists it as uncharacterized. NCBI's taxonomy places the organism in Eukaryota, Metazoa, Chordata, Mammalia, Carnivora, Herpestidae. The transcript is spliced from 3 exons. The record is from RefSeq and is a predicted model, not a curated record.
UCAAGGCUCAUGCUCUCCGUCACCUCUCACCCCUUUUCCUACUAAGGACUUCUAACUGAUGCUGACUGCAACUACAUUAGAACAGACUUCCAGUCCCUGUCAUUCAGUAUGGCCCAGGGUCAGGCUCUUGCUCAGCUUCUCUCAGAAAGACAAGGGCAUCUUCUCCUGGCUAAAUGUGUGCAGAGCUUUUUGGGAUGAUCUUGGCCAGCAGCUGUGGCUUUCACUGUGCCUUCUAGGCUAAUCAGGUAUUCUAGGCCAUCAUGCCCUCAUUCACGAAAUGCCGUAUCCGUAACGAAGGCUGCUGUGCCUCCAGGACAACUCAGAGUGUUGCCCGGUGCUCAGCCACUAGGCCGCUGAGGCGCCGAUGCUCGGCUGAGCGUCUGCGGUCCUGUCUGGCUCGAAGAACGAGCCCCCCAGCUCUCUCUGCAGCUUUAGGGCUUCGGUAUGAGCUGCCUCCUGUGCCUAACUUACUCCGGCUCACCUGUCAGGUGUUAGUGUGGCAGCUCCCUCCUCUGGAAAGUUCUUGACUCAUCAUAUGAAGUUGAGCCCUCCCGUUACAUGUUUCCUCAGCACCCUGCACUUCUCCUUCAACACAAUCGCAGGCUUAUCAUUAUUUGUUCCAUGUUUAUUUUCUCUGUUAGACAGGAAGUUC